GACAAUAACACCUGUAUAACAAAUGGUCGGAGUGCCGCGAUGAAACUGCGCAAAAUACUGAAAAGUAUGUUCAAUAACUAUUGCAAGACGUUCAAAGACGUACCGCCAGGCAAUAUGUUCCGAUAACAAAAAACCUGCUCCGGCAGGUUUUUUUGUGUCC
This 160-nucleotide unclassified non-coding RNA is filed under the name Escherichia coli 55989. RNAcentral describes it as "IsrB". The record is from RNAcentral. Lineage: Bacteria; Pseudomonadati; Pseudomonadota; Gammaproteobacteria; Enterobacterales; Enterobacteriaceae.